This 497-nucleotide ribosomal RNA is filed under the name uncultured bacterium. RNAcentral describes it as "bacterial SSU rRNA". It matches the Rfam family "Bacterial small subunit ribosomal RNA", at positions 35 to 518 of the family's 1533-position model. The record is from RNAcentral.
AGGACGAACGGCUGGCGGCGUGCCUAACACAUGCAAGUCGAACGAAGCAUCGGGAACUGGGAUUCGUCAAGGAGAACGAUGACUUAGUGGCGGACGGGUGAGUAAUGCAUGAGCAACCUGCCCUUGAGUGGGGGACAACAGUUGGAAACGACUGCUAAUACCGCAUGAUGUCUCCGGGGGACAUCCCCUGGAGACCAAAGGAGCAAUUCGCUUAAGGAUGGGCUCAUGUCUGAUUAGCUGGUUGGCGGGGUAACGGCCCACCAAGGCGACGAUCAGUAGCCGGACUGAGAGGUUGAACGGCCACAUUGGGACUGAGAUACGGCCCAGACUCCUACGGGAGGCAGCAGUGGGGAAUAUUGGGCAAUGGGCGAAAGCCUCGACCCAGCAACGCCGCGUGAAGGAAGAAGGCCUUCGGGUUGUAAACUUCUUUUAUGAGGGACGAAGGACGUGACGGUACCUCAUGAAUAAGCCACGGCUAACUACGUGCCAGCCGCAGC